UCUGGUGGCCAUGGCGACGGUGCCCCACCCGUUCCCAUCCCGAACACGGUCGUGAAAGCCGUCUGCGCCGAAAAUACUGGAGGGGCAACCCUCUGGGAAGAUAGGACGCUGCCAGAA
This 117-nucleotide ribosomal RNA is filed under the name Chthonomonas calidirosea. Lineage: Bacteria; Bacillati; Armatimonadota; Chthonomonadia; Chthonomonadales; Chthonomonadaceae. The record is from RNAcentral. RNAcentral also lists the same sequence under 1 other name.